ACUGUAUUUACCCCAUAU
Molecule: transfer RNA, 18 nt
Filed under: Gobiodon histrio (broad-barred goby)
Lineage: Eukaryota; Metazoa; Chordata; Actinopteri; Gobiiformes; Gobiidae
Description: partial tRNA-Pro
Source: RNAcentral